Molecule: long non-coding RNA, 449 nt
Organism: Oncorhynchus keta (chum salmon)
Lineage: Eukaryota; Metazoa; Chordata; Actinopteri; Salmoniformes; Salmonidae
Exons: 3
Source: RefSeq, a predicted model, not a curated record
UACACCAGGGCAUCUCUCUCCCUGUACAGUCCCAUUACACCAGGUCAUCUCUCUCCCUGUACAGUCCCAUUACACCAGGUCAUCUCUCUCCCUGUACAGUCCCAGUACACCAGGUCAUCUCUCUCCCUGUACAGUCCCAGUACACCAGGUCAUCUCUCUCCCUGUACAGUCCCAUUACACCAGGUCAUCUCUCUCCCUGUACAGUCCCAGUACACCAGGUCAUCUCUCUCCCUGUACAGUCCCAGUACACCAGGUCAUCUCUCUCCCUGUACAGUCCCAGUACACCAGGUCAUCUCUCUCCCUGUACAGUCCCAGUACACCAGGUCAUCUCUCUCCCUGUACAGUCCCAGUACACCAGGUCAUCCCUCUCCCUGUACAGUCCCAUUACACCAGGUCAUCUCUCUCCCUGUACAGUCCCAGUACACCAGGUCAUCUCUCUCCCUGUACAG